GUGGUACCCGGUCCUCAGGUGCAACCCCCUGCGUGGUCCUCUGUGGCAGCCUUCUCUCAUUCAGAGCUAAAAAGAAAACUCGGUAGAAGAUAAUGGCAAGUCCAGACUGGGGAUAUGAUGACAAAAAUGAGUCUCACUCUGUCGCCCAGGCUAGAGUGCAAUGGCAUGAUCUAGGCUCACUGCAAUCUCUGCCUCCCAGGUUCAAGUGAUUCUCCUGCCUCAGCCUCCCGAGUAGCUGGGACUACAGGUCCUGAACAAUGGAGCAAGCUGUAUCCCAUUGCCAAUGGAAAUAACCAGUCCCCUGUUGAUAUUAAAACCAGUGAAACCAAACAUGACACCUCUCUGAAACCUAUUAGUGUCUCCUACAACCCAGCCACAGCCAAAGAAAUUAUCAAUGUGGGACAUUCCUUCCAUGUAAAUUUUGAGGACAACGAUAACCGAUCAGUGCUGAAAGGUGGUCCUUUCUCUGACAGCUACAGGCUCUUUCAGUUCCAUUUUCACUGGGGCAGUACAAAUGAGCAUGGUUCAGAACAUACAGUGGAUGGAGUCAAAUAUUCUGCCGAGCUUCACAUAGCUCACUGGAAUUCUGCAAAGUACUCCAACCUUGCUGAAGCUGCCUCAAAGGCUGAUGGUUUGGCAGUUAUUGGUGUUUUGAUG
Molecule: small RNA, 657 nt
Filed under: Pan troglodytes (chimpanzee)
Lineage: Eukaryota; Metazoa; Chordata; Mammalia; Primates; Hominidae
Description: processed transcript
Source: RNAcentral